UACGGAGGGUGCGAGCGUUGUCCGGAAUCAUUGGGCGUAAAGAGCUCGUAGGCGGCCACUCAAGUCGAAUGUGAAACCUCGAGGCUUAACCUCGAGCCUGCAUUCGAUACUGGGCGGCUAGAGUCUGGUAGGGGGAUCUGGAAUUCCUGGUGUAGCGGUGGAAUGCGCAGAUAUCAGGAGGAAUACCGGUGGCGAAGGCGGGAUCCUGGGCCAGUACUGACGCUGAGGAGCGAAAGCGUGGGGAGCAAACAGG
Molecule: ribosomal RNA, 253 nt
Filed under: uncultured bacterium
Lineage: Bacteria
Description: partial 16S ribosomal RNA
Rfam family: Bacterial small subunit ribosomal RNA
Source: RNAcentral